Molecule: long non-coding RNA, 982 nt
Organism: Papaver somniferum (opium poppy)
Lineage: Eukaryota; Viridiplantae; Streptophyta; Magnoliopsida; Ranunculales; Papaveraceae
Exons: 3
Source: RefSeq, a predicted model, not a curated record
GGUUAUUUGAUUAUAUGAUUUUGAUUUGUUUGUUUUAGUAGUUUUUGUUUGUCUUUGAAUUCUGUCAAUAGUUUUUGCAAAUUUUUUGGUAAAUUGAUUUUUUUUUCUUUUAGAUUGAUUAACAACCAACGACAAUAGCAAUCAAUAUUUGGAACAAUUUUUUUUUUUUGCCAACCUUGCAAGUUGGAAGAUGUAUCAGAUUCCAUAAAGUGGGGUAAAUAUGCUGACCGAGUGGAAUGAUUUAGCCUAGAGGGUUUUUGCAGCUAAUUGUGUUUCUCAGUACCUGUUAUAUCUUACAUGGAGGUGUAUCGAUUUAUGGGCAAUGGACUUUCCUGACCGUCGUUGUUUGUGCUGGAAAUUUGUUAGUAUAGGAGGUGAUUUUCCAUGCCUACACCGUUAGAGCAGAGGUGCUCAAAGAUAUUGCUAUUGAAUGCUUACCAAGGAAUUCAGUUCACUUGAAUAUGAGACAAUUGGGCCAAGUCAAAACUGUGCAACUUAUAGAAGUUCAAGAACAUGUCAAACAGAGGCAUCACAAAACAUAUCAAUGAUACUGAGCACUUGGAGCAGACGACCAUCAGCCAAGCGACCUCCCCUGAUAGAAGAAGAAGCCUCGAUGACUCCUUCCCCUUGAUAGUUUUUAUUAAUGGUAGGUAAAACAAACAAUUGGUUCUUGGACUGUAAAAGAGUGAAACAGUGUAUCUAGUAUAGGAGUUAUCAUAGUACCAUAGUUGAAUGGAUGAGUCAUUUCCCUUUAUAUCUAAUAUGUCAGCUAUGUGGUUGUUGGAUGCAUGUUUAGUAGAUAAACGGGAAACAUAUCGAGUAUAGUGCGACUUUGUCGAUUAACAUAGCUGUAUAAACUGAAAACCAGAGUAUUAUGAUAUUUUUUUAAAUGCCUCUUACGUCUUUGGGCUAUUUUACAGUCUCCGGGUUGCUAUUCUUUCAGUUAUGGUUUAGUUUCUUAUUUUUCUUAACGCGAGGAAUC